UUGGAGGGCAAGUCUGGUGCCAGCAGCCGCGGUAAUUCCAGCUCCAAUAGCGUAUAUUAAAGUUGUGCAGUUAAAAAGCUCGUAGUUGAAUUUCGGGGUUCUACCGUUGGUCGGGCUUUGUCUGUACUGGUGUGUAGAAUUUCUACCUCCUGGGGAACCAUCAUGCUAUUAAUUUAGCGUGGUGGGAAACCAGGACCUUUACCUUGAAAGAAUUAGUGUGUUCAAAGCAGGCUUAUGUCUGAAUACAUUAGCGUGGAAUAAUAGAAUAGGACGGUGGUCCUGUUUUGUUGGUUUCUGAAUCACCGUAAUGAUUAAUAGGGAUAGUUGGGGGCAUUAGUAUUCAAUUGUCAGAGGUGAAAUUCUUGGAUUUAUUGAAGACUAACUAUUGCGAAAGCAUUUGCCAAGGAUGUUUUCAUUAAUCAAGAACGAAAGUUAGGGGAUCGAAGACGAUCAGAUACCGUCGUAGUCUUAACCAUAAACUAUGCCGACUAGGGAUCGGAUGACGUUAAUUUUUUAAUGACUCAUUCGGCGCCUUACGGGAAAC
This 544-nucleotide ribosomal RNA is filed under the name uncultured Glomeromycotina. RNAcentral describes it as "SSU rRNA". It matches the Rfam family "Eukaryotic small subunit ribosomal RNA", at positions 548 to 1098 of the family's 1831-position model. The record is from RNAcentral. Lineage: Eukaryota; Fungi; Glomeromycota.